GGACGGGUGAGUAACGCGUGGGUAACCUGCCUUGUACUGGGGGACAACAGUUAGAAAUGACUGCUAAUACCGCAUAAGCGCACAGUAUCGCAUGAUACAGUGUGAAAAACUCCGGUGGUACAAGAUGGACCCGCGUCUGAUUAGCUAGUUGGUAAGGUAACGGCUUACCAAGGCGACGAUCAGUAGCCGACCUGAGAGGGUGACCGGCCACAUUGGGACUGAGACACGGCCCAA
Molecule: ribosomal RNA, 234 nt
Filed under: uncultured bacterium
Lineage: Bacteria
Description: partial 16S ribosomal RNA
Rfam family: Bacterial small subunit ribosomal RNA
Source: RNAcentral